CUACGGGCGGCAGCAGUUAGGGAUAAUUUGCAAUGCGCGCAAGCGUGACAAUUUGAACCAGAGUGCGUUUCUAUUGAAACGCUUUUGUUGAAUGUAAAAAGUUCGGCGAAUAAGGACUGGGUAAGACGAGUGCCAGCCGCCGCGAUAAUACUCGCGGUCCAAGUCGCAGCCAUUUUUAUUGGGUCUAAAACAUCCGUAGCUUGCUUCGUAAGUUUCCUGUGAAAUCCGGCUUCUUAAGAGUCGGGCGAGCUGGAAGUACUGCUAAGCUAGAGACUGGGAGACGUAGGAAGUAUGUUCAAAGUAGUGGUAAAAUACUUUAAUCUUGGACAGACUCACAAUAGCGAAGGCAUCCUACGAGAACAGUUCUGACAGUAAGGGAUGAAGGCUAGGGUCGCGAAAGGGAUUAGAUACCCGCGUAGUC
RNAcentral lists this ribosomal RNA (421 nucleotides) under uncultured archaeon. RNAcentral describes it as "partial 16S ribosomal RNA". It matches the Rfam family "Archaeal small subunit ribosomal RNA", at positions 323 to 746 of the family's 1478-position model. The record is from RNAcentral.